GACGAACGCUGGCGGCGUGCCUAAUACAUGCAAGUAGAACGCUGAAGGAGGAGCUUGCUUCUCUGGAUGAGUUGCGAACGGGUGAGUAACGCGUAGGUAACCUGCCUGGUAGCGGGGGAUAACUAGUGGAAACGAUAGCUAAUACCGCAUAAGAGUAGAUGUUGCAUGACAUUUGCUUAAAAGGUGCAUUUCAAUCACUACUAGAUGGACUUGCGUUGUAUUAGCUAGUUGGGGGGGUAACGGCUCACCAAGGCGACCAUACAUAGCCGACCUGGGAGGGUGAUCGGCCACCCUGGGACUUGGACACGGCCCAGACUCCUAAGGGAGGCAGCAGUAGGGAAUCUUCGGCAAUGGACGGAAGUCUGACCGAGCAACGCCGCGUGAGUGAAGAAGGUUUUCGGAUCGUAAAGCUCUGUUGUAAGAGAAGAACGAGUGUGAAAGUGGUAAGUUCACACUGUGACGGUAUCUUAACAGAAAGGGACGGCUAACUACGUG
This 495-nucleotide ribosomal RNA is filed under the name uncultured bacterium. RNAcentral's name for it is "partial 16S ribosomal RNA". It matches the Rfam family "Bacterial small subunit ribosomal RNA", at positions 28 to 507 of the family's 1533-position model. The record is from RNAcentral.